CAAACGGCCCUUUUUAGGGCCACUUAACUGUCAGAAAGAGAUCAAAU
Non-coding RNA from Ciona savignyi (Pacific transparent sea squirt), 47 nucleotides. The record is from Rfam. NCBI's taxonomy places the organism in Eukaryota, Metazoa, Chordata, Ascidiacea, Phlebobranchia, Cionidae.